CCACAGUCAACUGUGGCAAACAGAAAACUGUCCUCAUUGCCAACUCAGAGAUAGUACAAAAGAAACACCAAAGGUUUUUCAUUGUUUAGAAAUCUUGGCCCUAACUGGAAUUAAUCUAGCAACAGAUGUCAAAGCCCAGAUUCUUGCUUAACUGAGACCAAGUGGUUCAACGUAAGGAAAAGUCAGUUCCCGGUUACAUUUGACUUCUAUUCUGUCCACCAUAUUUUGGUCAACUGUCUUAUUGACACAGGAGCUAUUCAAGGACAUUGGUGCAAGCUCUCAUCAAACUUCAUCCUUGAAAAGAGAACCCAGAGGAAGGAAGAAAGUGAACAAUCACUUAGGAAGCAG
RNAcentral lists this long non-coding RNA (348 nucleotides) under Fukomys damarensis (Damara mole-rat). RNAcentral's name for it is "lncRNA (ENSFDAG00000022443.1)". Lineage: Eukaryota; Metazoa; Chordata; Mammalia; Rodentia; Bathyergidae. The record is from RNAcentral.